AUGCACGCUAGCUACAGGCUUAACACAUGCCAGUCGAGGGGAAACGACAUCGAAAGCUUGCUUUUGAUGGGCGUCGACCGGCGCACGGGUGAGUAACGCGUAUCCAACCUGCCCAUCACUUGGGAAUAACCUUGCGAAAGUAAGACUAAUACCCAAUGAUAUCCCACGAAGGCAUCGGAAUGGGAUUAAAGAUUUAUCGGUGAUGGAUGGGGAUGCGUCUGAUUAGCUUGUUGGCGGGGUAACGGCCCACCAAGGCAACGAUCAGUAGGGGUUCUGAGAGGAAGGUCCCCCACAUUGGAACUGAGACACGGUCCAAACUCCUACGGGAGGCAGCAGUGAGGAAUAUUGGUCAAUGGGCGAGAGCCUGAACCAGCCAAGUAGCGUGCAGGAAGACGGCCCUAUGGGUUGUAAACUGCUUUUAUAAGGGAAUAAAGUGGGUCACGUGUGACUUUUUGCAUGUACCUUAUGAAUAAGGACCGGCUAAUUCCGUG
RNAcentral lists this ribosomal RNA (491 nucleotides) under uncultured bacterium. Its description in RNAcentral is "partial 16S ribosomal RNA". It matches the Rfam family "Bacterial small subunit ribosomal RNA", at positions 29 to 507 of the family's 1533-position model. The record is from RNAcentral.